AGAGUUUGAUCCUGGCUCAGGAUGAACGCUGGCGGCGUGCUUAACACAUGCAAGUCGAACGAUGAUGCCAGCUUGCUGGUGGAUUAGUGGCGAACGGGUGAGUAACACGUGAGUAACCUGCCCUUGACUCUGGGAUAAGCCUGGGAAACUGGGUCUAAUACCGGAUAUGACCUUCCAUCGCAUGGUGGUUGGUGGAAAGCUUUUGUGGUUUUGGAUGGACUCGCGGCCUAUCAGCUUGUUGGUGGGGUAAUGGCCUACCAAGGCGACGACGGGUAGCCGGCCUGAGAGGGUGACCGGCCACACUGGGACUGAGACACGGCCCAGACUCCUACGGGAGGCAGCAGUGGGGAAUAUUGCACAAUGGGCGCAAGCCUGAUGCAGCGACGCCGCGUGAGGGAUGACGGCCUUCGGGUUGUAAACCUCUUUCAGUAGGGAAGAAGCGUAAGUGACGGUACCUGCAGAAGAAGCGCCGGCUAACUACGUGCCAGCAGCCGCGGUAAUACGUAGGGCGCAAGCGUUAUCCGGAAUUAUUGGGCGUAAAGAGCUCGUAGGCGGUUUGUCGCGUCUGCCGUGAAAGUCCGGGGCUCAACUCCGGAUCUGCGGUGGGUACGGGCAGACUAGAGUGAUGUAGGGGAGACUGGAAUUCCUGGUGUAGCGG
RNAcentral lists this ribosomal RNA (658 nucleotides) under Arthrobacter sp. TN150C. RNAcentral describes it as "bacterial SSU rRNA". It matches the Rfam family "Bacterial small subunit ribosomal RNA", at positions 8 to 681 of the family's 1533-position model. The record is from RNAcentral. Lineage: Bacteria; Bacillati; Actinomycetota; Actinomycetes; Micrococcales; Micrococcaceae.